RNAcentral lists this unclassified non-coding RNA (432 nucleotides) under soil metagenome. RNAcentral describes it as "partial contains 5.8S ribosomal RNA, internal transcribed spacer 2, and large subunit ribosomal RNA". The stretch from base 1 to 120 matches the Rfam family "5.8S ribosomal RNA", at positions 35 to 154 of the family's 154-position model. The record is from RNAcentral.
GAUGAAGAACGUAGCGAGAUGCGAUACGUAAUGUGAAUUGCAGAAUUCAGUGAAUCAUCGAAUCUUUGAACGCAUAUUGCGCUCUCUGGUAUUCCGGAGAGCAUGCUUGUUUGAGUAUCAGUAAACACCUCAACUUCCAUAUCUUUUUUGAAAUGGGAGUUGGACUUGAGUGAUCCCAACGCUUUUCCUCACCGAAAAGUGGCGGGUUACUUGAAAUGCAGGUGCAGCUGGACUUUUCUCUGAGCUAUAAGCAUAUCUAUUUAGUCUGCCUAAAAACAGAUUAUUACCUUUGCUGCAGCUAACAUAAAGGAGAUUAGUUCUUGUGCUGACUGAUGCAGGAUUCACAAAGACAGGCUUCGGCCGACUUUGUAAACUCGAUCUCAAAUCAAGUAAGACUACCCGCUGAACUUAAGCAUAUCAAUAAGCGGAGGA